This 255-nucleotide ribosomal RNA is filed under the name uncultured bacterium. RNAcentral describes it as "partial 16S ribosomal RNA". It matches the Rfam family "Bacterial small subunit ribosomal RNA", at positions 524 to 777 of the family's 1533-position model. The record is from RNAcentral.
UACGAAGGGGGCUAGCGUUGUUCGGAAUUACUGGGCGUAAAGGGCGCGUAGGCGGCGUGUCAAGUCAGGCGUGAAAGCCCCGGGCUCAACCUGGGAACCGCGCUUGAGACUGGCAUGCUCGAGUUCGGGAGAGGAUGGUGGAAUUCCCAGUGUAGAGGUGAAAUUCGUAGAUAUUGGGAAGAACACCGAUGGCGAAGGCAGCCAUCUGGACCGACACUGACGCUGAGGCGCGAAAAGCGUGGGGAGCAAACAGGG